Pteronotus mesoamericanus is the source of this 142-nucleotide small nucleolar RNA. RefSeq annotates it as small nucleolar RNA SNORA4. The record is from RefSeq and is a predicted model, not a curated record. The transcript has a single exon. NCBI's taxonomy places the organism in Eukaryota, Metazoa, Chordata, Mammalia, Chiroptera, Mormoopidae.
AUGUUCAACAGAAUUUUUUGGAGAGGAUGGUCUUUUAAUAAUCUUUACCAACUUGAGCUAUUAGGGAGAAUAAAGAAGACCACACUCCACAGUGGGCUAUAUCACUAAACAUAUAGUUCACUAUUAUUUUGUGGCCUAUAUU